GGCGGCUCUCAGGUGAUGCACCCUGGGAUUGGGCUCUCUCCUCUGUGGUUUCCGGUACGUCACCUGAGAACCACA
Myotis lucifugus (little brown bat) is the source of this 75-nucleotide non-coding RNA. The record is from Rfam. Lineage: Eukaryota; Metazoa; Chordata; Mammalia; Chiroptera; Vespertilionidae.